GAAUAUUGCACAAUGGGGGAAACCCUGAUGCAGCGACGCCGCGUGAGCGAAGAAGUAUUUCGGGAUGUAAAGCUCUAUCAGCAGGGAAGAAAAAUGACUGUACCUGAGUAAGAAGAAUCGGCUAAAUACGUGCCAGCAGCCGCGGUAAUACGUAUGGUGCAAGCGUUAUCCGGAGUUACUGGGUGUAAAGGGAGCGCAGGCGGUGCGGCGAGUCUGAUGUGAAAGCCCGGGGCUCAACCCCGGGACUGCAUUGGAAACUACCGAACUAGAGUGUCGGAGAGGUAAGUGGAAUUCCUAGUGUAGCGGUGAAAUGCGUAGAUAUUAGGAGGAACACCAGUGGCGAAGGCGGCUUACUGGACGAUAACUGACGCUGAGGCUCGAAAGCGUGGGGAGCAAAC
This 398-nucleotide ribosomal RNA is filed under the name uncultured bacterium. RNAcentral describes it as "bacterial SSU rRNA". It matches the Rfam family "Bacterial small subunit ribosomal RNA", at positions 359 to 773 of the family's 1533-position model. The record is from RNAcentral.